Rosa chinensis is the source of this 2244-nucleotide RNA transcript. RefSeq lists it as uncharacterized. The record is from RefSeq and is a predicted model, not a curated record. Lineage: Eukaryota; Viridiplantae; Streptophyta; Magnoliopsida; Rosales; Rosaceae. The transcript is spliced from 5 exons.
UACUCUCCUAGAAACGUGGCUUACUAGCUAAAGACUGAAUCAAACAAACUAGAUGACCCUGUUGAAUAGGACUUAUUAACAGAAACAACAAACCAACCCUAGAAUCGUGCUAACUUCCUCAGCAAGACUCUGAAUACUUCAACAUUCAUCCCCAUGUCAAUCACUUUUUGAAACAAACACAGAGAAACCCUCUCAUGCGUUCUCUCGUGUUGGUAUUUGAAGUGUCAAUUUCAUCAGUCUCUCUAAACCAACCAAACCUAUUGUUUCACUAUUGUUACUAAGCCAUUCGAUUCAGUAUUAUUUGAUUUAGGGUUUCAAUUGGAUUUGUUUUGGGUUUUAGGGCUUUAUCUGGAAUUCAAUUUGGGGAUUUAAGGCACCGACAUCACUGACCGUCUCACCGGAAACUCUUGCUCCAGCGGUGCCCGUUUCUCCAGCGGCUUGCCUAUCCACAAAUGGGUCGUCAGUAGUUCAAGCUAUGCCCAUCCGUUUCUCAUUUACAAGAGGUUUGCUUAAAUUUUGGUCAUCUCCAUUAAGAAUAGCUACUUCGACGAACACCCUAACUUUCAAUUGGUUAUAUUCCCUCUCAAUUUGAGUCGAUUUGAUUUGAUCCCUCAGACAUCGAAUCGAGAGGUUCAUUUACCAGAGGCUUGCUGAACUGGGUAUUGUUUCUAAUCAUGUCUAAAGAGAUAUAUAUGAUUACAUAUCCUUGUUAGCUUACUGUCUAUUUUUGUUUUCAAUUGCCCUGAAUAUUUGAUUUGUGGUUAUUGUUUAGAAUUCUAAAUUGUUACUUUUCUUGUAUAAAGUUUGGAUCUUUCUUAUCUAGGCAUGUAGCUGUAGUUGUGGCUGUUUGAAUUUGUAAGCCUUUUCUUGUCUGCGUCUUUGAGUUUGAUUAUGAUUCUGGUGUACAACUCUGAAUUCUUGCAUAUCUCGAUUAAAGAUAGGUUUUUUGUUAUCUGGGCAUGUGGGUGUAGUUGUGGUUAUUGCAAAUUGUGUUAAAGUUCAGGGAUUUUUACUUAUUUAGAGUUUUAUAAAUUUGGAUUCUCUUUGGCUUGACUGUAAAAAUUAUAAACAGGCUUGUUCUAUUAAAAACUGGAGAGAACAGUUGCAGAAUUAACAGGAAGGUCUUUUCCUCUUGUCUUUAUUUCAAUUUUCUUUCAUUAUUUCUUACUUUCAAGUCAAACUAAUUUUUUUUGUGAAUUUCACAAUGCGGAAGUCUGACCAUGAAUUCAUCAAGGCCAAUGAUUACUUUUACAUGAAGGUGAUUGUGAUUCCUAUCUUGUUAUAUUUAUGUCUAUAUAAAGUACAAGGAUUUUGAAAAUUUACCCCUAAUUCACUAGUUAUUUUGUAUGGUGCUUAGUGCUUACUGUUACUAUAAAACAGAUUGGUGCAAUAUCAAUGUACUAGGGGCUCUCUUGGUAUCUUGAACUUAUAAAGUGGUAGAGUCUCAUUCGAGAGCUCUUUAGACCUAAGCCGUGCUUACUGAUAAAUUCCAUUAUUGUAGCUGUAUCAUAUCAGUUUGAGGAAUGUACUCCAUAAUGAAUUUGAGUUUUACAUCGAUUAAGUGUUUUUAUGCAGCUAUGUUUUGAAUGAACUUAAUCAUCAAGACCCCACUCAGCACCACACUUUUCAGAAAUUCUUUAGCACAAGCAACGCCCUUACAUAUACACGUGCACAUUGCCCUCCUAGAGACUUAUCAGUUCAUUUAAAAAGAUGGACUUUCAUCUUUAGUUAUGUGCAUCGUGGUGAAGCUUGGGCUGCUAAUAAAUUUCGUAAUAUGUGGCCACAACUUAAGGAGAUCAUGAUCGAUUAUGUUUGGCAACCGAAUAUAGCAGAUUCCCUGUUCGAACUUUGUUAUCAUGCAGAGUGUUGAAGAAAUUAAAAGAAGUCAUCCUGAAGAAAUUGAAAACUGCAAUAGCAUUCGAGAUUGCAAGAAUUAUAUGGAACAAUGGUUGUCUUCUCUUCAAAACUUUGAUGCCUCAAUUAGCUGAUAUCUCUUGAGGAUUAUCCGUUUGAAGAAUCAGAGCUGUUACAUAAUUGGCUAACUUAGUUGCUCUAGAUUAGUAUAGACAUUGCUCUAGAUAGUAGUUUUUUGCCUUAUGAGUUUAUUGAGAUGAUGCUCAUUAGGUUUAUGUAUGAAAGAAUUAUGGAUGUAUUUGUUGCCUGUAAUGACAGAUUCAAUACAAUAUGUCAUUUGUGUAGUUUCCAGAUUACAUCUUAAUAGAAAUACAAAUGUGACAUUUGAAA